This 274-nucleotide ribosomal RNA is filed under the name uncultured bacterium. RNAcentral describes it as "partial 16S ribosomal RNA". It matches the Rfam family "Bacterial small subunit ribosomal RNA", at positions 523 to 796 of the family's 1533-position model. The record is from RNAcentral.
AUACGAAGGGGGCUAGCGUUGUUCGGAAUUACUGGGCGUAAAGCGCGCGUAGGCGGAUUGGUCAGUUAGGGGUGAAAUCCCAGGGCUUAACCCUGGAACUGCCUCUAAUACUGCCAGUUUUGAGUUCGGGAGAGGUGAGUGGAAUUCCUAGUGUAGAGGUGAAAUUCGUAGAUAUUAGGAAGAACACCAGUGGCGAAGGCGGCUCACUGGCCCGAUACUGACGCUGAGGCGCGAAAGCGUGGGGAGCAAACAGGAUUAGAAACCCCAGUAGUCC